Carya illinoinensis is the source of this 468-nucleotide long non-coding RNA. RefSeq lists it as uncharacterized. NCBI's taxonomy places the organism in Eukaryota, Viridiplantae, Streptophyta, Magnoliopsida, Fagales, Juglandaceae. The record is from RefSeq and is a predicted model, not a curated record. The transcript is spliced from 2 exons.
ACUGAAAACUGGGCUUUAUCAUUCCCAUACAAUUCCUUAAAUCCAGCUACCACAACUCCAUGAAAGUCCAAAAUUUUACAAGCAUGGGAGAAUUUGGUCCUUAUCGUUUGCACUCUUGCAUUUGUUUGGACCAGCGAUUGAUCGAAGGGGUAUGUAACCUAUUUGGUUAGGGAGGAUGGGUGCAGCUGUGCUGUACAUGUUCCAGCCAACAAGGUGUUAAAGUUUCAGGAUUAACCAUUUGUAUGCUCGCAUAUAUGGGUGCAGCUGUGUCUUUAUUGAGAGAAGAACAUUUGUAAUACAAGUUUCAUAUGUAUUUUGUAUAACAGAUUAGUUGCUCAGGUUUAUAGUACUACAAAUUCCCUUCCAUUAAUGCACCAAGCCAAUGUAUUACUUAUAACUAAAAGAAUCUAGACAAUAUUGUAUUGGAAGAAUGAAUUUAUAUUAACAGAAAAUGGUAUGGUUGUUAAA